Molecule: long non-coding RNA, 1248 nt
Filed under: Mytilus galloprovincialis (Mediterranean mussel)
Lineage: Eukaryota; Metazoa; Mollusca; Bivalvia; Mytilida; Mytilidae
Source: RNAcentral
UGACAAAGUCCUGACAGAAAUGUAAAUGCCUAAUACUUUUUUGUUAUUGGAAGGAUUUACUUGAAAUUUGGAAUCAAGCAAGAUGAGAACUUUUAUUUAAUAAAUAAAAUAAAAAGAAUAAAACAAAUAAUUUAAGACUUAGAAAACUUGACCUGACCAACUUGACCUCGAAAAUGCUAUUGUCCUGACAAUGUCCUGACAGAAAUGUAAAUGCCUAAUACUUUUUUGUUAUUGAAAGGAUUUAUUUGAAAUUUGGAAUCAAGCAAGAUGAGAACUUAUUUUAAUAAAUAAAAUUAACAAAAUUAAAAAAAAAUAAUUUAAGACUUAGAAAACUUGACCUGACCAACUUGACCUCGAAAAUACUAUUGUCCUGACCGAUAUGAAACGGCUAAAAAAUAAUUUAUUAUUGACAGGAUAGACUUCAAAUUCGAUACCAAGGAAGAUUAAAUCAUUUAUUACAAAAAUAUAAGAAAAAAAAAGAAAAAAAAUAUUUUAAGAGUUAGAAAACUUGACCUGACCAACCACGUCCAACCGUGACAAAUGUCCUGACCGAUAUAAAACUGGUAAUUUAUUUCUCAAAUUCGGUCGGAUUGACUUCAAAUUUGACACAAGACAAGAAAGUAACAUUGAGUAAAUACUCAUUUGAAAAAAAAUAGGGGGGAAAUACUUUAAGGGUGAAAAAAACUUGACCUGACGAACAUCGACUUUGUUAUGAGUAAAUGACCGAUAUAAAAGUGCUAAUACUUGCAACAGUGUUGGUAUGAUUGAGUUCUUAAUUGAAACCAAGUCAAAUUGUAACGUUUUUAUUUUUAUACUUGCUGCAAUAAAUUGGAAACAAAAUAUUUCAAAGGAAAUAAAUACUUGACUUAACCCCUUAAACUUAAUACACAAACAACAACAUUUUUAGUUCUUACCUUAUAUUGUAAUUGAAUUUAUAUAUUUCCUAUCCAUAAAAUACAACAUCCAAAGCAAAUAAAUUUUGUUAAAUGAAAAGAUAGGGGAAAUAUGAGUUGCUGAGUGACUGUGAGUAUUGUUUACCCCUUUGUAACACAAAUCUACUUAAUUUGAUUAAUAAUUCAGAUUGACUAAUGAAACUAAUUAUUGAAUUAUUAACCUCUGUCAAUUAAAAACUAUAAAAAUGUAUAGUGAUUAGCUAGCUACCUACUGAUUUUAAUAACUAAGUUAAUAGAAAGUUUUCUUUUUCUUCUUGGUGCAAUAACUAAGUUAAAAAAAUGUAUUAAAAUAAAG